CUUGGCCCCCAGUGAGUCAGUGUCCAGAAACAUUUUGAGGAAGUUGGUUUUGCCAGAAACAGGAAACCCUUCAGUUGCAGUUUAUUCAUCAAGACAAAAUGAGAAGUGCUGAAGAGACACACGGAACAAUCUCAUCAGAAGACCAGAAACACACCCAACUAACUCCUAAAUCGCAACAUGGAUUCUCAGCAGUUUUGGCAUCUUUUCUUCGUGUUUCCUUGGAUGUUUGUAUUUUGUCUCCCUUCUGUGUGUUCAGGAAUGAAUGCACCAAAAAUGCGCUUGGAGAACACUGUCUUUGUGGCCUUUGCAGGUGAAGAUCUCAGGAUUAACUGUGAGUUGGAGAAACCAGCAAACCAAUCUAAAGACAUCUUGAGGUGCUUCAGUCCUCACGGAGAAAUUUACCACUGUGACGUUGCUUCUACGGAUGGUCACCCACAUACAGACAAACUGCAACUGGAGCUGAAAAAGUUGACCUAUUCAGGAGAAUACAACUGCCAGUAUAAAACGGCGAAGGUGUACUUUUUUCUUCGAGUGAGGGGUGUGAAUUGUUGUGAAACCAAGAGGUCCACCAGCAAUGAUAGCAAUCAUGGGGAGCUUCCAGUUUACACCACAAAGGAUGUGAAUCGGCCAUAUGAAGACUGACUCAAGAUGCUAACGAUGGCGAAACUUUCUGGCUGAAGGCUACAAGGAGCCCAAAAUGUUCAACUACACCAAACUCAUCACGGUGGCCACCAUCACUGGUGUGCUGUUGAUCUUGAGUGUGAUCGGCUCAGUGUAUGUCUUCAGAGGAUAUUGGAAAGAGAAGAUGACUGAAAGUGGCGACAGGCAGAAAACUAGCAGAAAACCAAAGGACAACAGAGAAGAGAGGAAAAAGGAAGAUAUGGAUGAAACUCAUGCAGAUGUAAUGGCAGCUGAGUCUACGUCCUUCUAUGCUAGUCUUGAGACUCGACCCAGGUCCAUCUAUGAUGUUCUGGACCACUCAGCUGCCAGCAGAGAGCCGGACCGGAGGAAACCUAAACCAAAGAAAAAGAAACCCCCAAAAACGGUGGCGCAAACUACAGAGCAGCAGGAUGAAGGUGUGUUUGAGUGUGUUUAUGAAAACUUCUGAAUCGUUAAUAAACUUAUUCCAGUAGACUAUGAUAUUCAUAUCAGCAGCUGUAAUAUGUAUCAUUGCUUUCCUAUUUUGAUGUCAUACGUAACAGUAACAGAAUAACUUAGAUUCUGUACCUCAGUGUAAGUAGCAAAACCACAAUGUGAAAAUACUCAAUAAAGGUACAAAUAAAGGUUUUGCUUUUAAAACAUGUAAAUAAAAAUGUACAAGAGUAUUAAAAAAUGUGCUCAGAGUAUUAAAAUAACUAACCAAGCAGACUACUGGAUUGUUCUGACUGAUUUCCAAACAUUUUUGUAGCAUUUUAAUGUUGUAGCUGAUUGAAGUGGAAUUGUUU
Molecule: long non-coding RNA, 1445 nt
Organism: Amphiprion ocellaris (clown anemonefish)
Lineage: Eukaryota; Metazoa; Chordata; Actinopteri; Pomacentridae
Source: Ensembl